This 1470-nucleotide ribosomal RNA is filed under the name metagenome. RNAcentral's name for it is "bacterial LSU rRNA". It matches the Rfam family "Bacterial large subunit ribosomal RNA", at positions 1476 to 2925 of the family's 2925-position model. The record is from RNAcentral.
UGAAGGUUAGGUCUACCAGGCGUUGGUUGUCCUGGGGAAAGGCGGUAGGCAUGAUUCUUAGGCAAAUCCGGGAAUCUUUAUGCCGAGCACCGAGACGAGUCCUUUGGGACGAAGUGACUGACACCACGCUUCCAGGGAAAGCCACUAAGCUUCAGCUGUAGAAAAACCGUACCGCAAACCGACACAGGUAGGCAGGGUGAGAAUCCCAAGGCGCUUGAGAGAACUCGGGUGAAGGAACUAGGCAAAAUGGCACCGUAACUUCGGGAGAAGGUGCGCCUCUUGGUGUGGUCACGUGCGUGACUGAGCAUCGAGGGGUCGCAGUAACCUGGCCGCUGCGACUGUUUAUCAAAAACACAGCACUCUGCAAACACGAAAGUGGACGUAUAGGGUGUGACGCCUGCCCGGUGCUGGAAGGUUAAUUGAUGGGGUCAGCCGCAAGGCGAAGCUCUUGAUCGAAGCCCCAGUAAACGGCGGCCGUAACUAUAACGGUCCUAAGGUAGCGAAAUUCCUUGUCGGGUAAGUUCCGACCUGCACGAAUGGCGUAACGACAGCGGCGCUGUCUCCACCCGAGACUCAGUGAAAUUGAAAUCGCUGUGAAGAUGCAGCGUUCCCGCGGCAAGACGGAAAGACCCCGUGAACCUUUACUAUAGCUUUACACUGAACGUUGAGUUCUUCUGUGUAGGAUAGGUGGGAGGCUAUGAAACCAGGACGCUAGUUCUGGUGGAGCCAUCCUUGAAAUACCACCCUGAAGUGCUUGACGUUCUAACCUAGGUCCGUAAUCCGGAUCGGGGACCGUGUAUGGUGGGUAGUUUGACUGGGGCGGUCUCCUCCCAAAGAGUAACGGAGGAGCACGAAGGUACGCUCAGCGCGGUCGGACAUCGCGCACUGUGUGCAAAGGCAUAAGCGUGCUUGACUGCGAAAUCGACGGAUCAAGCAGGUACGAAAGUAGGUCUUAGUGAUCCGGUGGUUCUGUAUGGAAGGGCCAUCGCUCAACGGAUAAAAGGUACUCCGGGGAUAACAGGCUGAUACCGCCCAAGAGUUCAUAUCGACGGCGGUGUUUGGCACCUCGAUGUCGGCUCAUCACAUCCUGGGGCUGUAGCCGGUCCCAAGGGUAUGGCUGUUCGCCAUUUAAAGUGGUACGCGAGCUGGGUUCAGAACGUCGUGAGACAGUUCGGUCCCUAUCUGUCGUGGGCGUUGGAGAUUUGAGGGGGGCUGCUCCUAGUACGAGAGGACCGGAGUGGACGUUCCGCUGGUGUUCGGGUUGUCAUGCCCAUGGCAUUGCCCGGUAGCUACGAACGGAAGUGAUAACCGCUGAAAGCAUCUAAGCGGGAAGCACGCCCCAAGAUGAGAUCUCCCGAGAGCUUGACUCUCCUAAAGGCACCAUCAAGACUAGGUGGUUGAUAGGCACGGUGUGGAAGUGCAGCAAUGCAUUGAGCUUACGUGUACUAAUGAGCCGUGAGGCUUGACUAA